RNAcentral lists this ribosomal RNA (468 nucleotides) under uncultured bacterium. RNAcentral's name for it is "partial 16S ribosomal RNA". It matches the Rfam family "Bacterial small subunit ribosomal RNA", at positions 28 to 507 of the family's 1533-position model. The record is from RNAcentral.
GACGAACGCUGGCGGCGUGCUUAACACAUGCAAGUCGAACGGAAAGACCCUGCUUUUGUGGGGUGCUCGAGUGGCGAACGGGUGAGUAACACGUGAGUAACCUGCCCUUGACUUUGGGAUAACUUCAGGAAACUGGGGCUAAUACCGGAUAGGAGCUCCUGCUGCAUGGUGGGGGUUGGAAUGUUUCGGCGGUUGGGGAUGGACUCGCGGCUUAUCAGCUUGUUGGUGGGGUAGUGGCUUACCAAGGCUUUGACGGGUAGCCGGCCUGAGAGGGUGACCGGCCACAUUGGGACUGAGAUACGGCCCAGACUCCUACGGGAGGCAGCAGUGGGGAAUAUUGCACAAUGGGCGGAAGCCUGAUGCAGCAACGCCGCGUGCGGGAUGACGGCCUUCGGGUUGUAAACCGCUUUCGCCUGUGACGAAGCGUGAGUGACGGUAAUGGGUAAAGAAGCACCGGCUAACUACGUG